GGAUGACAGACUGAGAGCUCUUUCUCGAUUCGGUGGGUGGUGGUGCAUGGCCGUUCUUAGUUGGUGGAGCGAUCUGUCUGGUUAAUUCCGAUAACGAACGAGACCCCAACCUGCUAACUAGCCCUCGGGUCUGGCUUCUGGCGGGCCCGACGGAAUGAUUCGCUUCUUAGAGGGACUCGCGGCGCCUAGCCGCACGAAGGGGGGCGAUAACAGGUCUGUGAUGCCCUUAGAUGUUCGGGGCUGCACGCGCGCUACACUGAAGGCAUCAGCGUGCGCUUUGUCCGUUCCCUGCCUGAAAAGGCUGGGUAACCCGCUGAACCGCCUUCGUGCCUGGGAUAGGGAUUUGCAAUUAUCUCCCUUGAACGAGGAAUUCCCAGUAGGCGCGAGUCAUCAGCUCGCGUCGAUUACGUCCCUGCCCCUUUGUAA
Molecule: ribosomal RNA, 426 nt
Filed under: Sagitta sp. 99_UnivF-1183
Lineage: Eukaryota; Metazoa; Chaetognatha; Sagittoidea; Aphragmophora; Sagittidae
Description: SSU rRNA
Rfam family: Eukaryotic small subunit ribosomal RNA
Source: RNAcentral